UAUCAUAUUCUUGUCUUCUUCGAGUUUUUUGGAAGCUAUUCAAUAGAUUUAGUUUUCGAUAACAUAACUGUUUCUUUCAUGACCAGGGAAGAUAGAAAUGAAAGCGUGUCUGGUCUUUCUACUUCUUGACAUUGAAACUAAUUGGGUUCUUAUUGAACUCCGAGUCAUUGAAAAUCAAUAGAAUACUACAUACACAUAUAUUUAUGAACACAGUGGAUCUUCUUCUCCUCCUCUUGUUAUAUGAUCCACUAUCGUCUCCUGACCACGACGUCGUCGUUUUUUCCGUUACGCGUAUGCAGUUUCCCAUUUUGUUGUGUUUAUUUGAUGAUUGAGUUUGUUGAGAUAAAUAUUUAUAGCUUAAAUAUUUGAUUGUUAAUAUUUAAAAAUGAAUAUAAGGCUCGAGGGAAAAAG
Arabidopsis thaliana (thale cress) is the source of this 411-nucleotide long non-coding RNA. RefSeq annotates it as other RNA. The record is from RefSeq. The transcript has a single exon. Lineage: Eukaryota; Viridiplantae; Streptophyta; Magnoliopsida; Brassicales; Brassicaceae.